GUGGGGAAUUUUGGACAAUGGGCGAAAGCCUGAUCCAGCCAUGCCGCGUGCAGGAUGAAGGCCUUCGGGUUGUAAACUGCUUUUGUACGGAACGAAAAGACUUCUUCUAAUACAGGAGGUCCAUGACGGUACCGUAAGAAUAAGCACCGGCUAACUACGUGCCAGCAGCCGCGGUAAUACGUAGGGUGCAAGCGUUAAUCGGAAUUACUGGGCGUAAAGCGUGCGCAGGCGGUUAUAUAAGACAGAUGUGAAAUCCCCGGGCUCAACCUGGGAACUGCAUUUGUGACUGUAUAGCUAGAGUACGGUAGAGGGGGAUGGAAUUCCGCGUGUAGCAGUGAAAUGCGUAGAUAUGCGGAGGAACACCGAUGGCGAAGGCAAUCCCCUGGACCUGUACUGACGCUCAUGCACGAAAGCGUGGGGAGCAAACAGGAUUAGAAACCCUUGUAGUCC
This 450-nucleotide ribosomal RNA is filed under the name uncultured bacterium. Its description in RNAcentral is "partial 16S ribosomal RNA". It matches the Rfam family "Bacterial small subunit ribosomal RNA", at positions 354 to 796 of the family's 1533-position model. The record is from RNAcentral.